UUCCCCUCGCCUGCAACUCCCCCCGGGGCGGCACUUUAUUUGCAAAGCAGCGUAAUUGGUUUAGGCUUGUGGGGAAAGAAGGAGAGACAGAGAAACCACGUGAGUCACCGUGCUGAGACAUAACACUACAGGUUCUCAAUAAAUACGAACAGAGGCCUGAAUGCGGAUCCACUGAUAUUAACCUCCACUUGGCAAACAUCAGGGCGAGCUUUUAGUGCAACCUGGAGAAUAUGCAGGCUGAGGUGAGCUCUGCUUUGACCGACUAGAUGGCAUCAGGGUCUCAGCCCUUUGCUCCGCCAGCGUGCUCUACCAAGGCUGCAAACAUAAAAGCUGACCUAGAAAAAUAUGGAAAUAUGUGUGUGGAGCAGGGGCAGGACUUCCAGGGAAGACCGUGUUAUCAGCACUGUCAGGAAGAGCUGGGCCCCGCAAAGGCCACUCAGCAAGCGCCUGGGUUUUGGGAAUCUCGUCGCCUCUGGACAGGCCGAGUGGCCUCGCCCCUGGGAAGGGGCUUCCCGCAGCUGCUCGAGGA
This is a long non-coding RNA of Serinus canaria (Common canary), 529 nucleotides long. RefSeq lists it as uncharacterized. The record is from RefSeq and is a predicted model, not a curated record. The transcript is spliced from 3 exons. NCBI's taxonomy places the organism in Eukaryota, Metazoa, Chordata, Aves, Passeriformes, Fringillidae.